This 127-nucleotide small nucleolar RNA is filed under the name Chlorocebus sabaeus (green monkey). Its description in RNAcentral is "Small nucleolar RNA SNORA75 (ENSCSAG00000027632.1)". Lineage: Eukaryota; Metazoa; Chordata; Mammalia; Primates; Cercopithecidae. The record is from RNAcentral.
UGCAAUUAACACCACUACAGAUUGGUGGCAGUUUAUGGAUUUGCACAAGAGGAGAGAACUCACAGAACUAGCACUAUUUUAUGCUCUUUCUUUACGGAGGUGUAUCUGGCUGUUUUGUCAGACAUUC